Molecule: long non-coding RNA, 7192 nt
Organism: Ruditapes philippinarum (Manila clam)
Lineage: Eukaryota; Metazoa; Mollusca; Bivalvia; Venerida; Veneridae
Exons: 4
Source: RefSeq, a predicted model, not a curated record
CCCGAAUGAAGAAUAAAAACUGUUUCGCGCAUGUCACGUGAUGGUGUGCCAACCACGUUAACUUUUUGGUCCUUCCGAAUUAUCCAGGCGGGGAACAAUAGUUUCAUAUAAAUACAUAGCAAAUUAAAUCGUGUGACUGAAAAGAGGUCGGAAAAUGUUUUGCUGGCGUCUUUAACGGAUUUGUUUAGUAAAGUUUUUUGGUGAGAAUCAAUCAGUGGUUAAACAUACAAGAUUGUCCCCGAGCGCUCAAGAUUCAUGGUCGAGUGAUUUUCCAUGCACUUUACUGUUAGCUACAUUUGCGUGAAGUUUGUGAGAGGGACGUGACGGAAACAAAAGUAUGGCAGAUUUGGAAUUGUUUCUUUUAUUUUAGGACGUCGAAGAACUUAGUAUCAAUCAAAAAUGUAAGUUAUUUUAUAUUUUAUUAAUAAAAACUAUAUAGCCGAAACGUAAUAUUAUUACACAUGAAAAUCGGGAAAGCGUUACUGUUUUUUUUUUAGGAAAAAAUGUAAAUAUUUCACAGAAAAUUCGGGAAAUGUUAUAUUGUAUCACAUAAAAUUUGUAAAUUAUCAAAUAUUUUUCGUAGGUACAAUUUGUUUGACACAAAGUUAAAUUUUCCAUGAAUAUGGACUUUAAUUAUAAAUUAGCAUUAAUCAUAAGGAUUAUACAUGUUAAACUUUUAAUUUUUCAUGUGACGUUUCGAUCAUAGUUAUUUUUGACCAUUAUGAUAAUUGGCUUAUGAUAUAAAACAAAAUACAGAUAUGAAUAAUUGAUAGUUGGCAUAUGAGGUCUAACAAAGUAUUGACACGGAUGAUUGACGUGUGAUAUGUAAAAAUGAUGGCCAUGUUGAUGACAAUGUUGUUUUGAUGAGGACGUCCAUGGGUGUUACAGUGAUGAUGGAAUGACGUUGUUCAAGUGAGCAUCAGCAGACGUAAAGCAGGAAAUGGCGGGAAGAAUCCUAGCAGACGACAGUUGUCGCGCAGAUGCAAUCAUGCACCAUAUCAGACUGCCCGAAAUUACAGGCUGGCCGACACGCUUUCAGCAUGUUAGGGUUUUGAAAAAGGAAAUCAUUACUUUGUAACGUAUGUCUUGUCUACUUUUUGAAAAAUAAACUUUCGUGUCAAUGUAAUAAUUAUGUUGACGAACCAUUUUUAGCCCAACUGUUUGAAAAACGAGUAAGGGCUAUUUUAAUCACUUGGUCGUCUGUUCUCGUAAAACACUUCGUUUUGCAUAUGUUUCGUGUGUAACUUCCUACCUCAGAAUUCAUUAUGAUUGUGUAACGGGGAACAUAAUCUAAACACCUUUAACUUUAAACUAGAUUUUGAUUUAUAUAAGUUCAUGUAUGCCACUUAGUCAACUUGAUUUAAAGCAGUCAUGUUUAAAAUAAUAAUUUAAGUUUACAAUAUAUUCUUAUCAAAUGAGCAUAAUAAUGCUGAGUUAUGGGUCAUUAAGAACAUUUCAGUAAUUUAAACAAAUAACUUACAAUUAUUUUUAAAAUGCUAAAAAAAUGUAACAUUUGUUUGACCAUGUUACCAAUAGUGUAUCCACAGGUAGCAGACGACAAUAAAUUUUAAAGUGGAAAUUUGCGACUUCCGGUGUGUCUGCUACUCGAUGUUGUGAUCUCAGUUUCUUCCCCUGACGUUCAGUAUAUGAAAUGAGGGUCGAGGAUUUGAAAUUAAAAAAGAACGAAAGAUAUGAAAUGAGCACCGGCAAACUGAUCUUGGCAUGUUACAUCCUUGUCACAGAUCUGGAACCUACUGAUUAUGAUGAGAAAUACGGAACAUGGUAAAUUGAGCAGGUGAAGGAAUGAAGAAAACACCACCCCCUUUACAGUCAGCAAAAUAACUAUGCUUUGUUACGGUUUGGAACUACUGCAUGCGGUUACAACUUAUGUGACAAAGAGAUUUUAAUCCACCUGAAACGAUUUGGUAUCUUUCUGAAAAUGUCAUGUUCAACUUCUGAAUGGUGUUUUUUCUGCCAAGUUUAAGAAAUAUAUUACCAUGUAACUGUCUAAUAUUUAUGGCAAUUAUGAAGUAAUAGUGAGUUUUUGGCGUAGUAAUAAAAACCAUAGAAGGUGUUAGCUCGAUUGGAUUUUCUACAUGAGCUUGAAAUAAUAACACCUUCAUAAAUGCCUUGAUGUGAACAGAAUAGAAGGGAUAUUUUAUUUGCUUUUUACAUUGUACAUCUUCUAUUUAACAUACUGUACCGUCAAUAAAUUGAAAUGGCAAUAAUGAGUAUAAUUGCAAUAAUGAAUGAUGCACUUUUUCGCAAUGUAUAUUUCAAGUGGUGUAAUAAGUAAAAUUUGAUCAGGAAUGUACAUUUAUCAAGACUUAAUAUAUAUGCAAACAUACUGUACCGUUAACAUAAUGGCAAUAGUAAAAUUGCAGAAAUGAAUGAUGCGCAUUUUUUACAAUGUAUAUUUCAAGAAGUGUAAUAACUAACAUUUAAUAGUUAAUAAAGACAUACUAGGCCGUACAAUGAGAAAUAAUGAUAAUUUAACAACGUCAUGAUAGAAACAUCCAUUUGAAAUUUCUUAAGAUUUAGAUAAUAAUAACACCACCAAGAAUAUCACCACUACCACCAAAAACAACAUUAAUGAAACAUAAUGAAAACUCCAACGAUGAAAUAUUUCAUCAUUUAAAAACAUGCAAUGAUGAAAAAAUUAAAUAAAAUAUUAAAAUAAUUGUAAUCACGACCAGAAGAACAAUAAUGAAAUAAAGUAAUGAAAUAACAAUAUGAGUGAAAUAAAAUAAAAACAAUAAAAUGAAAUGAAAUGAACAAUAAUGAAAUAAAAUGAAAACAAAAAUAAUGAAAUAAGAUAAAAUAAAAACAAUAAAAUAAAAGCAAACAAAAAAUGAAAAUAAAAAAUUGAAAUAAGGUAACAAGAAAUGGAAUGAAAGAAUAUUAUUGUCAUAAGUGACCAUUUAGUUGUUUACCUAUAACAUGCUUGACCUUAAAGUGACCAGCCUUUGCCACCAGUAUGCAGCCAGGCCAACCUGUACGUCCAUGCAGAUUGACCAGGCUCUAAACCGUUGGCUGACCAAUUUCAAAUUUGAUUUUAUUCAAGUUUUAUUCCCUAAAUUGAGAAUGAACGUAUUCAGAAACGGAAGCUGGACAAGUCCGCUUCCGAUAAUAUUAUCAACCAUAUACAUGAUAUAAUGUGUUCCUUUAUAUUUUGAAGUAUCAUUUGUUUCAUUUUUUAUCUUUUAAAUGCUUUAAAUAAGGAGUCACAAAGGGUUACUUUAUCAUUUUCAUUUCCAAGCAUAUCCUCGUGCGUUUCAUCGCCGGAUAGCCACUGAUAAACACUGCCUAUCUUGAUUACAUGUUAAUCAACCGUGAGUAUCCGACGAUGCAUGCGUUUAUGCUUGUUUUUUGUUUUGUUUUGUUGUUGAUUUUUUUAUUGUUGUUUUCAGUUUUUAUAUGAUCUGACAAAAAGUUAAAAAAGAUGGUGGGGCUAGCAUCAUUUAGCUUUUUUUGUUCGCCGUUGAUACGUUAUUCUAUCAAUUUUUUAACUUUACUUGCCUGUUUUAAUUUUUUAAAGUUUUUUUUUUUAAUUAAUUAAUUAAUUAAUUAAUUUAUUUAUUUAUUUAUUUACUUAUCUUUAUUUAUUUAUUUAUUUAUUUAUUGUUUUGCAAAUUACAUCAAGCGAAAAGGGAGGCUACUUGUUUUAAAAUACAGAUUGAUCUCCCCUGAAAAUUCAAAUGAUAAGAACGGACCAAAGGAGACUUCUCUUCAUUAAAACAAGUAUAAAAUGAUAAAAAAAGUCGUUUUCCCGUCAGUUUACACUCCAUUACCACUUGUUAUUUUUUUCUAACUGAUAACUCUCACACAUCUUCGGCACUAACAUUAACUUUUGGGGAAAAUGACUUUAAUAAUGCUACUGUAAAACUUCCAACAAAUAUCAAUCAAAAGUAAUAACAUUUGGUUGUGAAAAUUUAGCCGCAAAAGGCAUAAUGUUUAAUUAUCAAUAGGGAGAGAAGUCGCCUUUUGGUCCAAUUUUCAGGGGUGGUUACACCGUUACUUAAUUAAGAAUGGUCUCCCUUUGGUCAUACUUGCUUUUACAAAUUCUUCUGCAAUAUUAAAUUUAACAUCAAAAACAAUUUAAAGGAACACACUAUAGUCAAAAUUGGAUACUUCCUUUUUUACAAGUAUACAGAAACUUGAAAUAUUUCAACAAAUUUUAGGGUAGAUUUAAUGCUUUGAUUAGAAUCUUUUCACUUAGUACAUAUAAAAAUAUGAAAAUACUAUAGACCUAGUAUCUUUACUUAUAGAAUCACGUUUUUUUUCAAGUAUUAUUUAAAAUAGUUGGCUAUAAUUUGUGUCACGGGUAAACAGAGGGUAAACCAUCAAAAUUUUGUAUACUAGUUUAUAUAUAUCUGGAAUAUUUUAAAGAACAACAUUUGACAUUUUAAAUCUGUCUUGUAUCUUGGAAACUUCUUUGCGUUUGUAAAUAUUUCUUUAAACAGAAUUAGUUUGAGCCUGGAACAAUACUUGAAAUAUCUUGACUUAGUUUGAGUUUGAAUCAAUAUUUGAAAUAUUUUAACUUAGCUUGUGUCUGGAACAACACUUGAACUAUCUUAACUUAGUUUAAGUCUUGAACAAUACUUGAAAUAUCUUAACUAAGUUUGAGUCUUGAACAAUACUUGAAACAUCUUUACUGAGUUUGAGUUUGAAACAACACUUGGAAUUUCUUAACUUAGCUUGUGUCUAGAAGAAUAUUUGAAACAUCUUAACUGGGUUUGAGCUUGGAACAAUACUUGAAAUAUCUUAACUGAGUCUGAGUCUGGGACAAAACUUGAAAUAUCUUGACUUAGUUUGAGUCUGAAUCAAUAUUUGAAAUAUUUUAACUUAGCUUGUGUCUGGAACAACACUUGAACUAUCUUAACUUAGUUUGAGUCUUGAACAAUACUUGAAAUAUCUUAACUAAGUUUGAGUCUUGAAGAAUACUUGAAACAUCUUAACUGACUUUGAGCUUUGAACAAUACUUGAAAUAUCUUAACUGAGUUUGAGUCUGGGACAAUACUUGAAAUAUCUUGACUUAGUUUGAGUCUGAAUCAAUAUUUGAAAUAUCUUAACUUAGCUUGUGUCUGGAACAACACUUGAACUAUCUUAACUUAGUUUGAGUCUUGAACAAUACUUGAAAUAUCUUAACUAAGUUUGAGUCUUGAACAAUACUUGAAAUUUCUUAACUUAGCUUGUGUCUGGAAGAAUAUUUGAAACAUCUUAACUGGGUUUGAGCUUGGAACAAUACUUGAAAUAUCUUAACUGAGUCUAAGUCUGGGACAAAACUUGAAAUAUUUUUACUAAGCUUGAGUCUGGAACAAUACUUGAAAUAUUUUAACUGAGUUUGAGUCUGGAACAACAAUUGAAAUGUCUUAACUUAGCUUGUGUCUGGAACAACACUUGAAAUAUCUUUACUUAAUUUGAGUCUUAACUUAGUUUGAGUCUGAAACAAUAAUUGAAAUAUCUAAAAUUAGCUUAAGUAUGGAAAAAUACUUGAAAUAUCUUAUCAAAGCUUGAGUCUUGAACAAUAAUUUAAAUAUCUUAACUUAGUUUGAGUCUGGAAAAAUACUUGAAAUAUCCUCACUUAGUUUGAGCCUGGAACAAUACUUGAAAUAUCUUGACUUAGUUUUAGUCUGAAUCAAUAUUUGAAAUACUUUAACUUAGCUUGUGUCUGGAACACUUGAACUAUCUUAACUUAGUUUGAGUCUUGAACAAUACUUGAAAUAUCUUAACUAAGCUUGAGUCUGGAACAAUACUUGAAAUAUUUUAACUGAGUUUGAGUCUGGAACAACAAUUGAAAUUACUUAACUUAGCUUGUGUCUGGAACAACACUUGAAAUAUCUUUACUUAAUUUGAGUCUUAACUUAGUUUAAGUCUGGAAUAAUAAUUGAAAAAUCUAAACUUAGUUUGAGCCUGGAACAACACUUGAAAUAUCUUAACUAAAUUUGAGUCUUGAAGAAUACUUGAAACAUCUUAACUGAGUUUGAGUCUGGGACAACACUUGAAAUAUCUUAACUUAGCUCUGAACAAUACUUGAAAUAUUUUAAUUGAGUUUGAGUCUGGAACAACACUUGAAAUUUCUUAACUAACCUUGUGUCUGGAACAACACUUGAAAUAUCUUUACUUAAUUUGAGUUUUAACUUAGUUUGAGUCUGGAAUAAUAAUUGAAAUAUCUAAACUUAAUUUGAGUCUGGAACAACACUAGAAAUAUCUUAACUAAGUCUGAGUCUGGAACCAUACUUGGAAUAUCUUUACUUAGUUUGAGUCUUGAAGAAUACUUGAAACAUCUUAACGUAGUUUGAGUCUAGAAGAAUAUUUGAAAUUUUUUAACUUUGUUUGAGUCUGGAAACAAAUUUCAAAAACUUAUUUUGAGUCUGGGACAAUACUUGAAACAGCUUAACUUAGUUUGUGUCUGGAACAAUACUUAAAAUAUCUUACCCUAGUUUCAGUCUGGAACAUUAAUUGAACUAGCUUAACCUAAUUUGAGUCUUGAAAAACACUUGAAGUAUCUUAACUUAGUUUGAGUCUGGAACCACACUUGAAAUAUCUUAACUUGGUUUGAGUCUUGAAUAAUACUUGAAACAUCUUAUCUUAGUUUGAGUCUUUGAGAAUACUUGAAAUAUCAUAACUUUACUUAGUUUGAUUUUUGAACAAUAAUUUAUAUAUCUUAGUUUGAGUCUGGAACAAUACUUGAAAUAUCAUAACUGAGUUUGAGUCUGGAACAAUACUUGAAAUAUCUUUACUUAGUUUGAAUCUUGAAGAAUAGUUGAAACAUCAUACCUCAGUUUGAGUCUGGAACAAUACUUGAAACAUCUUAACUUAGUUUAAGUUUUGAAUACCUGCAUUUACUAAUGAAGUGCAAGAAAGAUCUGGUUUACAUGUACUUUAAACAUGCUAUGCUAAAAUCAUAAUUCAUAAGAGCUUUCCGCGCCAUAGGUAGCACCUAACUUCAUAUUAAAGAUUGUAUGCAGUUGAUUGAUAUCAUUGAUUUUGUAAACAAAAACAAUUACAUGUAUUUUUGUAUGCAAAUUAUUUUGAAAAACGAUAAAAUAGUACUGGAAUUAAAAAGGAUUUUUCUGAACGUGUUAAGUUAUCUUUCCUCAAUCUUUAUUAAUAAGAUAUUAUAUGAUAUAAUAUUUGUCAGAUAGAGUAACCUCCCCCGAAAAAUACAAAUUCUGUUAGGGGCUGGUAA